UUUAAGAUAAGAUGGUUUUAUAAUUAAUUUUCCAGUUGCACAUGCGGUGCACACAAAAUCUGAUGAUUUUGGGAAAAUUUUAGUUGGAAGGCUGUGACCAAUAGAAUUGUCAAUAAUUUUUCUCAUCAUCCCUAUGCCACGAUGACCUAGGCGAUCAUGCCAAGUCUUGAAUUUAUCAAGGUCUUGAAAAAUUAUUUUGUACGCAACAUGUGAUACGGGCUUUAUAUAACUGUAAUAUAAUCCAGAUGAAAGUGAGG
Molecule: long non-coding RNA, 257 nt
Filed under: Hordeum vulgare
Lineage: Eukaryota; Viridiplantae; Streptophyta; Magnoliopsida; Poales; Poaceae
Description: long non-coding RNA (HVUL_LNC017667)
Source: RNAcentral